CAAAUACCUUUGAAGUCAGAAGAGACACAAUUUGGAAGUGAAAUUGGGACACAUCCGCAGGAAGUCCCAAUAAUGACUGAAGUGUAUCAAGGAAAUGACAUGAUGCCAUGCAGGAAAUUGCUGGCAGAAGAAAAUUGCCAACUAAAGAAAGAAGAUCAUAUUUUCAAAGUGGCUGAUAAUCUUAACUGUGAGACAGCAGCAAUCAACAGUUACCGAUGGAGAGUCAAAGUCCUUGAACAAGAAUUGGAAAGAACAAUUGAUUAUUUUCAAUUUCAG
Long non-coding RNA from Ochotona princeps (American pika), 276 nucleotides. RefSeq lists it as uncharacterized. The transcript is spliced from 3 exons. The record is from RefSeq and is a predicted model, not a curated record. Lineage: Eukaryota; Metazoa; Chordata; Mammalia; Lagomorpha; Ochotonidae.